CCUACGGGGGGCAGCAGUGAGGAAUAUUGGUCAAUGGACGAGAGUCUGAACCAGCCAAGUAGCGUGAAGGAUGACUGCCCUAUGGGUUGUAAACUUCUUUUAUAAAGGAAUAAAACGAGGCACGUGUGCCUUUUUGCAUGUACUUUAUGAAUAAGGAUCGGCUAACUCCGUGCCAGCAGCCGCGGUAAUACGGAGGAUCCGAGCGUUAUCCGGAUUUAUUGGGUUUAAAGGGAGCGUAGAUGGGUUGUUAAGUCAGUUGUGAAAGGUUGCGGCUCAACCGUAAAAUUGCAAUUGAUACUGGCAGUCUUGAGUACAGUUGAGGUAAGCGGAAUUCGUGGUGUAGCGGUGAAAUGCUUAGAUAUCACGAAGAACCCCGAUUGCGAAGGCAGCUUACUAAACUGUGACUGACAUUGAUGCUCGAAAGUGUGGGUAUCAAACAGGAUUAGAUACCCUAGUAGUC
RNAcentral lists this ribosomal RNA (460 nucleotides) under uncultured bacterium. RNAcentral describes it as "partial 16S ribosomal RNA". It matches the Rfam family "Bacterial small subunit ribosomal RNA", at positions 338 to 795 of the family's 1533-position model. The record is from RNAcentral.